RNAcentral lists this ribosomal RNA (2900 nucleotides) under Klebsiella pneumoniae. RNAcentral's name for it is "bacterial LSU rRNA". It matches the Rfam family "Bacterial large subunit ribosomal RNA". The record is from RNAcentral. Lineage: Bacteria; Pseudomonadati; Pseudomonadota; Gammaproteobacteria; Enterobacterales; Enterobacteriaceae.
UUAAGUGACUAAGCGUACACGGUGGAUGCCCUGGCAGUCAGAGGCGAUGAAGGACGUGCUAAUCUGCGAAAAGCGUCGGUAAGGUGAUAUGAACCGUUAUAACCGGCGAUGUCCGAAUGGGGAAACCCAGUGCAAUUCGUUGCACUAUCGUUAACUGAAUACAUAGGUUAACGAGGCGAACCGGGGGAACUGAAACAUCUAAGUACCCCGAGGAAAAGAAAUCAACCGAGAUUCCCCCAGUAGCGGCGAGCGAACGGGGAGCAGCCCAGAGUCUGAAUCAGCUUGUGUGUUAGUGGAACGGUCUGGAAAGUCCGACGGUACAGGGUGAUAGUCCCGUACACCAAAAUGCACAGGUUGUGAACUCGAAGAGUAGGGCGGGACACGUGGUAUCCUGUCUGAAUAUGGGGGGACCAUCCUCCAAGGCUAAAUACUCCUGACUGACCGAUAGUGAACCAGUACCGUGAGGGAAAGGCGAAAAGAACCCCGGCGAGGGGAGUGAAAAAGAACCUGAAACCGUGUACGUACAAGCAGUGGGAGCACCUUCGGGUGUGACUGCGUACCUUUUGUAUAAUGGGUCAGCGACUUAUAUUCUGUAGCAAGGUUAACCGUAUAGGGGAGCCGCAGGGAAACCGAGUCUUAACUGGGCGUUAAGUUGCAGGGUAUAGACCCGAAACCCGGUGAUCUAGCCAUGGGCAGGUUGAAGGUUGGGUAACACUAACUGGAGGACCGAACCGACUAAUGUUGAAAAAUUAGCGGAUGACUUGUGGCUGGGGGUGAAAGGCCAAUCAAACCGGGAGAUAGCUGGUUCUCCCCGAAAGCUAUUUAGGUAGCGCCUCGUGAAUUCAUCUUCGGGGGUAGAGCACUGUUUCGGCUAGGGGGUCAUCCCGACUUACCAACCCGAUGCAAACUACGAAUACCGAAGAAUGUUAUCACGGGAGACACACGGCGGGUGCUAACGUCCGUCGUGAAGAGGGAAACAACCCAGACCGCCAGCUAAGGUCCCAAAGUCAUGGUUAAGUGGGAAACGAUGUGGGAAGGCACAGACAGCCAGGAUGUUGGCUUAGAAGCAGCCAUCAUUUAAAGAAAGCGUAAUAGCUCACUGGUCGAGUCGGCCUGCGCGGAAGAUGUAACGGGGCUAAACCAUGCACCGAAGCUGCGGCAGCGACACUAUGUGUUGUUGGGUAGGGGAGCGUUCUGUAAGCCUGCGAAGGUGACCUGUGAGGGUUGCUGGAGGUAUCAGAAGUGCGAAUGCUGACAUAAGUAACGAUAAAGCGGGUGAAAAGCCCGCUCGCCGGAAGACCAAGGGUUCCUGUCCAACGUUAAUCGGGGCAGGGUGAGUCGACCCCUAAGGCGAGGCCGAAAGGCGUAGUCGAUGGGAAACAGGUUAAUAUUCCUGUACUUGGUGUUACUGCGAAGGGGGGACGGAGAAGGCUAUGUUAGCCGGGCGACGGUUGUCCCGGUUUAAGCAUGUAGGCUGGUUGUCCAGGCAAAUCCGGAUAAUCAAGGCUGAGGUGUGAUGACGAGGCACUACGGUGCUGAAGUAACAAAUGCCCUGCUUCCAGGAAAAGCCUCUAAGCAUCAGGUAACAUUAAAUCGUACCCCAAACCGACACAGGUGGUCAGGUAGAGAAUACCAAGGCGCUUGAGAGAACUCGGGUGAAGGAACUAGGCAAAAUGGUGCCGUAACUUCGGGAGAAGGCACGCUGGUGUGUAGGUGAAGCCCCUGCGGGUGGAGCUGAGACCAGUCGAAGAUACCAGCUGGCUGCAACUGUUUAUUAAAAACACAGCACUGUGCAAACACGAAAGUGGACGUAUACGGUGUGACGCCUGCCCGGUGCCGGAAGGUUAAUUGAUGGGGUUAUCCGUAAGGAGAAGCUCUUGAUCGAAGCCCCGGUAAACGGCGGCCGUAACUAUAACGGUCCUAAGGUAGCGAAAUUCCUUGUCGGGUAAGUUCCGACCUGCACGAAUGGCGUAAUGAUGGCCAGGCUGUCUCCACCCGAGACUCAGUGAAAUUGAACUCGCUGUGAAGAUGCAGUGUACCCGCGGCAAGACGGAAAGACCCCGUGAACCUUUACUAUAGCUUGACACUGAACAUUGAGCCUUGAUGUGUAGGAUAGGUGGGAGGCUUUGAAGCGUGGACGCCAGUCUGCGUGGAGCCAACCUUGAAAUACCACCCUUUAAUGUUUGAUGUUCUAACGUUGGCCCCUUAUCGGGGUUGCGGACAGUGUCUGGUGGGUAGUUUGACUGGGGCGGUCUCCUCCCAAAGCGUAACGGAGGAGCACGAAGGUUAGCUAAUCCUGGUCGGACAUCAGGAGGUUAGUGCAAUGGCAUAAGCUAGCUUGACUGCGAGCGUGACGGCGCGAGCAGGUGCGAAAGCAGGUCAUAGUGAUCCGGUGGUUCUGAAUGGAAGGGCCAUCGCUCAACGGAUAAAAGGUACUCCGGGGAUAACAGGCUGAUACCGCCCAAGAGUUCAUAUCGACGGCGGUGUUUGGCACCUCGAUGUCGGCUCAUCACAUCCUGGGGCUGAAGUAGGUCCCAAGGGUAUGGCUGUUCGCCAUUUAAAGUGGUACGCGAGCUGGGUUUAGAACGUCGUGAGACAGUUCGGUCCCUAUCUGCCGUGGGCGCUGGAGAAUUGAGGGGGGCUGCUCCUAGUACGAGAGGACCGGAGUGGACGCAUCACUGGUGUUCGGGUUGUCAUGCCAAUGGCACUGCCCGGUAGCUAAAUGCGGAAGAGAUAAGUGCUGAAAGCAUCUAAGCACGAAACUUGCCCCGAGAUGAGUUCUCCCUGAGACUUUAAGUCUCCUGAAGGAACGUUAAAGACGAUGACGUUGAUAGGCCGGGUGUGUAAGCGCAGCGAUGCGUUGAGCUAACCGGUACUAAUGAACCGUGAGGCUUAACCUU